This 253-nucleotide ribosomal RNA is filed under the name uncultured bacterium. RNAcentral describes it as "partial 16S ribosomal RNA". It matches the Rfam family "Bacterial small subunit ribosomal RNA", at positions 524 to 776 of the family's 1533-position model. The record is from RNAcentral.
GACGGAAGGUGCAAGCGUUGCUCGGAAUCACUGGGCGUAAAGGGUGCGUAGGCGGCUUGGUAAGUUGGGUGUGAAAGCCCCGGGCUCAGCCCGGGAAGGGCACUCGAAACUGCCGAGCUGGAGUGCCGGAGGGGAGAGUGGAAUUCCUGGUGUAGCGGUGAAAUGCGUAGAUAUCAGGAGGAACACCAAUGGCGAAGGCAGCUCGCUGGGACGGUACUGACGCUGAGACGCGAAAGCGUGGGGAGCAAACAGG